This 436-nucleotide unclassified non-coding RNA is filed under the name Hevea brasiliensis (rubber tree). Lineage: Eukaryota; Viridiplantae; Streptophyta; Magnoliopsida; Malpighiales; Euphorbiaceae. The record is from RNAcentral.
GUGAACUUAUAUUUAGAUAAAAGUUGGUCAUCAUUUACAUGACGAUAAUCACACAUACCAAACCAAAUUCAAUUGAGUAAAGGGCACCAAGCUUCUGACUAUUCCAUAGAACCAUCUGCCAGAACAAGAGUGUGCCUCCAUCCGCUUUCUCAGUUGCAGAUAUUUAUUUAUGUGAACAGACUCCACGGAAUCAAAUAGUGCAAUCAGCUACAUCAAAGAAAGAGGCACAUACCUAGCUGUUUAUCUGUUGAGACGACCGAUUUGCAGCCUAGCUCGCUCGGUCUCGUAUCACGUCCAAAUCCAUCUCUUCGGGGUCAGUAGCUUGAAUCAUGUAAUGGACACCAUCGAGCUCCUGCUGGAAUUUAUCCUUGGAUGUAGCAUACAACAUCUUGGCACGUAUACGGGAGACAGAUGGAGACCAUGCAAUGAAGAAGAU